This is a small nuclear RNA of Dipodomys ordii (Ord's kangaroo rat), 103 nucleotides long. The record is from Ensembl. NCBI's taxonomy places the organism in Eukaryota, Metazoa, Chordata, Mammalia, Rodentia, Heteromyidae.
UUGCUUUAGCAGCACUUAUACUAAAAUUGGAAUGAUACAGAGAAUAUUACCAAGGCCCCUGCAUAAGGAUGAUAUUCACAUUCAUGGAGCAUUCAUAUUUUGA